This 468-nucleotide ribosomal RNA is filed under the name uncultured bacterium. Its description in RNAcentral is "partial 16S ribosomal RNA". It matches the Rfam family "Bacterial small subunit ribosomal RNA", at positions 28 to 507 of the family's 1533-position model. The record is from RNAcentral.
GACGAACGCUGGCGGCGUGCUUAACACAUGCAAGUCGAACGGAAAGGCCCUGCUUUUGUGGGGUGCUCGAGUGGCGAACGGGUGAGUAACACGUGAGUAACCUGCCCUUGACUUUGGGAUAACUUCAGGAAACUGGGGCUAAUACCGGAUAGGAGCUCCUGCUGCAUGGUGGGGGUUGGAAAGUUUCGGCGGUUGGGGAUGGACUCGCGGCUUAUCAGCUUGUUGGUGGGGUAGUGGCUUACCAAGGCUCUGACGGGUAGCCGGCCUGAGAGGGUGACCGGCCACAUUGGGACUGAGAUACGGCCCAGACUCCUACCGGGGGCAGCAGUGGGGAGUAUUGCACAAUGGGCGGAAGCCAGAUGCAGCAACGCCGCGUGCGGGAUGACGGCAUUCGGGUUGUAAACCGCUUUCGCCUGUGACGAAGCGUGAGUGACGGUAAUGGGUAAAGAAGCACCGGCUAACUACGUG